This 331-nucleotide ribosomal RNA is filed under the name Streptomyces bobili. RNAcentral's name for it is "bacterial SSU rRNA". It matches the Rfam family "Bacterial small subunit ribosomal RNA", at positions 558 to 889 of the family's 1533-position model. Lineage: Bacteria; Bacillati; Actinomycetota; Actinomycetes; Kitasatosporales; Streptomycetaceae. The record is from RNAcentral.
GCGUAAGAGCUCUAGGCGGCUUGUCCGUCGGGUGUGAAAGCCCGGGGCUUAACCCCGGGUCUGCAUUCGAUACGGGCUAGCUAGAGUGUGGUAGGGGAGAUCGGAAUUCCUGGUGUAGCGGUGAAAUGCGCAGAUAUCAGGAGGAACACCGGUGGCGAAGGCGGAUCUCUGGGCCAUUACUGACGCUGAGGAGCGAAAGCGUGGGGAGCGAACAGGAUUAGAUACCCUGGUAGUCCACGCCGUAAACGGUGGGAACUAGGUGUUGGCGACAUUCCACGUCGUCGGUGCCGCAGCUAACGCAUUAAGUUCCCCGCCUGGGGAGUACGGCCGC